This 253-nucleotide ribosomal RNA is filed under the name uncultured bacterium. RNAcentral's name for it is "partial 16S ribosomal RNA". It matches the Rfam family "Bacterial small subunit ribosomal RNA", at positions 524 to 776 of the family's 1533-position model. The record is from RNAcentral.
UACGGAGGGGGCUAGCGUUAUUCGGAAUUACUGGGCGUAAAGCGCACGUAGGCGGACUGGAAAGUCAGAGGUGAAAUCCCAGGGCUCAACCUUGGAACUGCCUUUGAAACUCCCAGUCUUGAGGUCGAGAGAGGUGAGUGGAAUUCCGAGUGUAGAGGUGAAAUUCGUAGAUAUUCGGAGGAACACCAGUGGCGAAGGCGACAUACUGGCCCAUUACUGACGCUCAUGCACGAAAGCGUGGGGAGCAAACAGG